CCUCUACCUUGAGACAUUGCUCACCUCGUUUUGCUUCAAUCAUCGCCCUCUUCUCUUCUGCUGCCCUGUGGAUUUCUGCUAUUUUGUUAUUCUUUUUCUCUGCAUAUUUGGCCUUCUUCUUUUCAAUCUUUUCCUCAUACUUCUUUAUUUUUGUGUCCACGUAUGCUUUCUUGGUAGUCUCUUGUGAUGCGACAGCUGAGAGCUUUUUGUGAGUUUUGUUCUCCACUUUAGCCUUCUCGUUUUCUUCCCAUGCCUUGAUUAAAGCAUAUCUUUUCUCUGAUUCAACCUUUGCUAGCUCAGCAUCUCUGUCAGUUGAAGUCAUCUCAGUCUUAGGAUCUGCAACCUCAUUUGAAACUGGGGCAGCAGUUUCUUUCAGCUCUCGAGCAGGUAUCGUCUGAUCUCGAGGUGGUGCAGGCACAGAGGAGGAGGCGUCAGAUUCAGCUUCCUUGGGAUCCCCUUCUCCCAUAAUAUACUCUUUGAACUUAGCCACGGCGACCCAGAAAUAUUAUAACAAGAACAACAAACGGAGCUAGAUGCCAAUUGAAAAAA
Molecule: unclassified non-coding RNA, 549 nt
Filed under: Hevea brasiliensis (rubber tree)
Lineage: Eukaryota; Viridiplantae; Streptophyta; Magnoliopsida; Malpighiales; Euphorbiaceae
Source: RNAcentral